Molecule: ribosomal RNA, 897 nt
Filed under: uncultured Bacteroidota bacterium
Lineage: Bacteria; Pseudomonadati; Bacteroidota
Description: uncultured Bacteroidetes bacterium partial 16S ribosomal RNA
Source: RNAcentral
UACCUUGUUACGACUUAGCCCCAGUCAUUGGUUUUACCCUAGGCGACUCCUUGCGGUUAUCGACUUUAGGUCCCCCCAACUUCCAUGGCUUGACGGGCGGUGUGUACAAGGCCCGGGAACGUAUUCACCGCGCCAUGGCUGAUGCGCGAUUACUAGCGAAUCCAACUUCACGGAGUCGGGUUGCAGACUCCGAUCCGAACUGAGACCGACUUUGGAGAUUUGCAUCCUGUCACCAGGUAGCUGCCCUCUGUAUCGGCCAUUGUAGCACGUGUGUAGCCCUGGACGUAAGGGCCGUGCUGAUUUGACGUCAUCCCCGCCUUCCUCACUACUUGCGUAGGCAGUUUCUUUAGAGUCCCCAGCUUGACCUGUUGGCAACUAAAGAUAGGGGUUGCGCUCGUUAUGGGACUUAACCCGACACCUCACGGCACGAGCUGACGACAACCAUGCAGCACCUCGUAGACAGCCCCGAAGGGAUAUAAGGUUUCUCCUAUAGUCUCUCUACGUUCUAGCCCAGGUAAGGUUCCUCGCGUAUCAUCGAAUUAAACCACAUGCUCCUCCGCUUGUGCGGGCCCCCGUCAAUUCCUUUGAGUUUCAAUCUUGCGAUCGUACUCCCCAGGUGGAUUACUUAUUGGUUUCCCUUAGACGCUGACUGUGUAUCGCCAACAUCGAGUAAUCAUCGUUUACAGCGUGGACUACCAGGGUAUCUAAUCCUGUUUGAUCCCCACGCUUUCGUGCAUGAGCGUCAGUUAUAGCUUAGCUAGCUGCCUUCGCGAUCGGUGUUCUGUGUCAUAUCUAAGCAUUUCACCGCUACAUGACACAUUCCGCCAACUUCAACUAUACUCUAGACUAUCAGUAUCAAAGGCAGUUCCACAGUUGAGCUGUGGGAUUUCACCUCUG